CGCGCCUUGGCACUUCUAGAUCCCAAUUUCCAGCCCGGCGCUGCCGGCUGGGGUCCCACACAUCAAAAGAAUCUAAUGUGGGGGAACGGCAGAGGCUGCCAACUUCCCGCGGCGGUCUCGAGAACUGGCUUUCCAGAGAGACGGAGUUCUGCACUUGGUGGAGCUGGGUUCCUCCCCUGUCACCGCUGUUGCUCAGCUGUGUGUCUUGGGAGGUGACCUCCAUUCUGGGCAACAUCAACACAUGAGGCCACACCUGCCUGGACAGUCUGCCUAAAGGUGGAGACAGGAAGAUGACAGCAGCUGUUACAAGGUGGAGCGGUGCUGUCUGUCGGGCUGGGCUGGAGUUUGUGACCGCAGAUGGAACACAGAGAGAAGAGAGUGUAUGCUUUAUGAGGCUGUCCUGGGUUAACACAGGACACAUGCUAGUCAGUCCUCAGUUCUGACUACUGGGGUAGGGGGACGAAUUGAGUUUCUCUAAGAGUCACUUCCAGGGGAAUAUCUGACAUGCUGAACCUGGACAUGAAGCCUGGGACCUACUCCUUCAUGAAACAGUUGCUGAACAAAUACUGGACCCCAGGCUCUAAGCUAGGGGCUGGAGAAUACAAAGACAGACAAAACCUGAUAGGGUUCUGGCCUCUGCAGAACUCACACCUGAGGACAGAAUGACUUAUAUAGGAAUCUCAAAGGCAGAGCACUUUGGCAGGUCCCACAGGAAAAGACCUAAUGUGAGGGCAGGCCCUAAGAAGCACUGCAAUUUAUCAGGGAGCUCAGGCAAGGCUUGGGAGUUGGGGGGAGUAUAACCAGUAGCAGCAGCCAUAAAAUGUUACUGGUGAUGACCCAUGGAGGGGG
Long non-coding RNA from Condylura cristata (star-nosed mole), 849 nucleotides. RefSeq lists it as uncharacterized. The transcript has 3 exons. The record is from RefSeq and is a predicted model, not a curated record. Lineage: Eukaryota; Metazoa; Chordata; Mammalia; Eulipotyphla; Talpidae.